GCUCGUUGCCCUACCCACUCAUUUUGACGGCUCUAGAAUCGAAUUAAAGUCUCUUACUAUAAUUCACAGUUCCCUAAUCGAUUCAACAAGAGAAUUCAAAAAACCCCAUUACUUCGCGUUACUAGUUAUGGGAUAGCAUACACUACUAAACAUAAAAACUUAGAAGGUCCUUGUCUGAUACUAACCCUCAUAUGAAUCAUCUAUGGAUGCAAAUUCAGAAUGUCAAUGAAGACACUGUCACUCCAGAGAACCUACAUCCCCCAACAAAAACCUUCGCUUCAAUUCUGAAUGAAUUUGGGAACCCAGGUUUGAAAAUGAUGCCAUUCGCCCAAACACCAUUGACCUGAGUCUCAAACAAACACAUAACAUCUAAACCAAAUUCUAUUUUAUACUUAGCCACAAAAUUACAGAAAUGGAGAUGAUCAGUUCCUUGACAGAAAAAUAGUUUUGAAUAGUUUUGAAUCUAUAAAUCAAUAACUGAUAGAAAAAACAACCAAACAACCAAUCCAAGCUUCGACACUAAAAUCAACAACUAACCUUGACAUUUCUAAUAACAUCAUCAUCCAUAACCUCCACCACAAAAAAUUACAUCCUCUAUUGGGGAACAAUUCCUGGUUCCUUAUUCAAUGCCACGCACAAUGCCCUCCAUUGUUGCCAUUAGCUCCACCAUUAGGGUUCCAUCACCUUCCAACUCGCGAUCUGGCGGUUUCUUCCAUUGGAUAUCACUGUUGACACUUGUUUGCACAUCUGGAUUUGGGAACCCCAUACUCGAUUCUCCAAAGUGAAACACGUGAUCUUUUCCCCUUUGAACCUUUAGACUCCCCUUUCUUAACCACCCGAGUUGCACUAUGUUUAUUUAUGUCCAAAUUGGACUUAAAAGUAAUCAAAAC
This 890-nucleotide long non-coding RNA is filed under the name Gossypium raimondii (Peruvian cotton). RNAcentral describes it as "long non-coding RNA (GRAI_LNC007310)". Lineage: Eukaryota; Viridiplantae; Streptophyta; Magnoliopsida; Malvales; Malvaceae. The record is from RNAcentral.